RNAcentral lists this ribosomal RNA (708 nucleotides) under Aspergillus flavus. Its description in RNAcentral is "eukaryotic LSU rRNA". The stretch from base 161 to 314 matches the Rfam family "5.8S ribosomal RNA". Lineage: Eukaryota; Fungi; Ascomycota; Eurotiomycetes; Eurotiales; Aspergillaceae. The record is from RNAcentral.
GCCCAACCUCCCACCCGUGUUUACUGUACCUUAGUUGCUUCGGCGGGCCCGCCAUUCAUGGCCGCCGGGGGCUCUCAGCCCCGGGCCCGCGCCCGCCGGAGACACCACGAACUCUGUCUGAUCUAGUGAAGUCUGAGUUGAUUGUAUCGCAAUCAGUUAAAACUUUCAACAAUGGAUCUCUUGGUUCCGGCAUCGAUGAAGAACGCAGCGAAAUGCGAUAACUAGUGUGAAUUGCAGAAUUCCGUGAAUCAUCGAGUCUUUGAACGCACAUUGCGCCCCCUGGUAUUCCGGGGGGCAUGCCUGUCCGAGCGUCAUUGCUGCCCAUCAAGCACGGCUUGUGUGUUGGGUCGUCGUCCCCUCUCCGGGGGGGACGGGCCCCAAAGGCAGCGGCGGCACCGCGUCCGAUCCUCGAGCGUAUGGGGCUUUGUCACCCGCUCUGUAGGCCCGGCCGGCGCUUGCCGAACGCAAAUCAAUCUUUUUCCAGGUUGACCUCGGAUCAGGUAGGGAUACCCGCUGAACUUAAGCAUAUCAAAAAACCGGGAGAGAAUCAUUACCGAGUGUAGGGUUCCUAGCGAGCCCAACCUCCCACCCGUGUUUACUGUACCUUAGUUGCUUCGGCGGGCCCGCCAUUCAUGGCCGCCGGGGGCUCUCAGCCCCGGGCCCGCGCCCGCCGGAGACACCACGAACUCUGUCUGAUCUAGUGAAGUC